UAAGUGAAGAGUUUGAUCCUGGCUCAGAGUGAACGCUGGCGGCAGGCCUAACACAUGCAAGUCGAACGGCAGCACAG
This 77-nucleotide ribosomal RNA is filed under the name Luteimonas sp. RC10. RNAcentral's name for it is "partial 16S ribosomal RNA". It matches the Rfam family "Bacterial small subunit ribosomal RNA", at positions 1 to 77 of the family's 1533-position model. The record is from RNAcentral. Lineage: Bacteria; Pseudomonadati; Pseudomonadota; Gammaproteobacteria; Lysobacterales; Lysobacteraceae.